GGAUGCGGUCAUACCAGGCCUAAAUCACCGGAUCCCAUCAGAACUCCGAAGUUAAGCGUGCUUGGGCGAGAGUAGUAGUAGGAUGGGUGACCUCCUGGGAAGUCCUCGUGUUGCAUUCU
Molecule: non-coding RNA, 119 nt
Organism: Brachypodium distachyon (stiff brome)
Lineage: Eukaryota; Viridiplantae; Streptophyta; Magnoliopsida; Poales; Poaceae
Source: Rfam